UACGGAGGGUGCAAGCGUUAUCCGGAUUCACUGGGUUUAAAGGGUGCGUAGGUGGGCAAGUAAGUCAGUGGUGAAAUCUCCGGGCUUAACCCGGAAACUGCCAUUGAUACUAUUUGUCUUGAAUACUGUGGAGGUCAGCGGAAUAUGUCAUGUAGCGGUGAAAUGCUUAGAUAUGACAUAGAACACCAAUUGCGAAGGCAGCUGGCUACACAAAUAUUGACGCUGAGACGCGAAAGCGUGGGGAGCAAACAGG
RNAcentral lists this ribosomal RNA (253 nucleotides) under uncultured bacterium. RNAcentral describes it as "partial 16S ribosomal RNA". It matches the Rfam family "Bacterial small subunit ribosomal RNA", at positions 524 to 776 of the family's 1533-position model. The record is from RNAcentral.